Molecule: ribosomal RNA, 497 nt
Filed under: uncultured bacterium
Lineage: Bacteria
Description: partial 16S ribosomal RNA
Rfam family: Bacterial small subunit ribosomal RNA
Source: RNAcentral
GAUGAACGCUGGCGGCGUGCCUAAUACAUGCAAGUCGAGCGAACGGACGAGAAGCUUGCUUCUCUGAUGUUAGCGGCGGACGGGUGAGUAACACGUGGAUAACCUACCUAUAAGACUGGGAUAACUUCGGGAAACCGGAGCUAAUACCGGAUGAUAUUUUGAACCGCAUGGUUCCAAAGUGAAAGACGGUCUUGCUGUCACUUAUAGAUGGAUCCGCGCUGCAUUAGCUAGUUGGUAAGGUAACGGCUUACCAAGGCAACGAUGCAUAGCCGACCUGAGAGGGUGAUUGGCCACAUUGGAACUGAGGAACGGGCCCGACUCCUACGGGAGGCAGCAGUAGGGAAUCUUCCGCAAUGGGCGAAAGCCUGACGGAGCAACGCCGCGUGAGUGAUGAAGGUCUUCGGAUCGUAAAACUCUGUUAUUAGGGAAGAACAUAUGUGUAAGUAACUGUGCACAUCUUGACGGUACCUAAUCAGAAAGCCACGGCUAACUACGUG